CUGCAGUACGUGUACUCUCAGCUACUUACGCUGUGUACCUCUGACGUCACGUUCACGCUUUGCCACAAGGGGAAAUGUAUCCGUGGAAUUGCUUCCUGAUUGCGAUAUGACAUUAUAUUCUUAAUGAAGUUAACAGAUAGACCGGUGUUCUAUCGACCAAUACUACCUACCGAGACGUGCUACCGAGCCUUUCUGCGCAUGUGCAGUUCCACCGUCUCGGGUUUAAGUGAAUCAAGGAAAGUGAAUGAAGUAUAUUUAAGGUGCCUACGAACCAUGAGUUGUGUUUGGAAACACUGAUCAUC
Brienomyrus brachyistius is the source of this 302-nucleotide long non-coding RNA. RefSeq lists it as uncharacterized. The record is from RefSeq and is a predicted model, not a curated record. NCBI's taxonomy places the organism in Eukaryota, Metazoa, Chordata, Actinopteri, Osteoglossiformes, Mormyridae. The transcript is spliced from 3 exons.